AACACUGUUAACCUGCGGUACCUGCGGAAGGAUCAUUACUGUGGUUUACUACUACACUGCGUGAGCGGAACGAAAACAACAACACCUAAAAUGUGGAAUAUAGCAUAUAGUCGACAAGAGAAAUCUACGAAAAAACAAACAAAACUUUCAACAAUGGAUCU
Molecule: unclassified non-coding RNA, 161 nt
Filed under: soil metagenome
Description: partial contains 5.8S ribosomal RNA, internal transcribed spacer 2, and large subunit ribosomal RNA
Source: RNAcentral